RNAcentral lists this ribosomal RNA (2890 nucleotides) under Aeromonas veronii. RNAcentral's name for it is "23S ribosomal RNA". It matches the Rfam family "Bacterial large subunit ribosomal RNA". The record is from RNAcentral. Lineage: Bacteria; Pseudomonadati; Pseudomonadota; Gammaproteobacteria; Aeromonadales; Aeromonadaceae.
GGUUAAGUGACUAAGCGUACAUGGUGGAUGCCUUGGCAGUCAGAGGCGAUGAAGGACGUACUAACCUGCGAUAAGCUGUGAGAAGUCGGUAAGAGACGCUAUUACUCACAGAUUUCCGAAUGGGGAAACCCACCCGAGAUAACUCGGGUAUCUGUUACUGAAUACAUAGGUAACAGAGGCGAACCGGGAGAACUGAAACAUCUAAGUACCCCGAGGAAAAGAAAUCAACCGAGAUUCCCUCAGUAGCGGCGAGCGAACGGGGAUUAGCCCUUAAGCAUCUUGGAAGUUAGUGGAACGGUCCUGGAAAGGCCGGCGAUACAGGGUGAUAGCCCCGUACACGAAAACAACCUUGAUGUGAAAUCGAGUAGGGCGGGACACGUGACAUCCUGUCUGAAUAUGGGGGGACCAUCCUCCAAGGCUAAAUACUCCUGACUGACCGAUAGUGAACCAGUACCGUGAGGGAAAGGCGAAAAGAACCCCUGUGAGGGGAGUGAAAUAGAACCUGAAACCGUGUACGUACAAGCAGUGGGAGCCCUUCGGGGUGACUGCGUACCUUUUGUAUAAUGGGUCAGCGACUUACAUUUUGUAGCGAGGUUAACCGUAUAGGGGAGCCGUAGGGAAACCGAGUCUUAACUGGGCGUCUAGUUGCAAGGUGUAGACCCGAAACCGGGUGAUCUAGCCAUGGGCAGGUUGAAGGUUGAGUAACAUCAACUGGAGGACCGAACCCACUAACGUUGCAAAGUUAGGGGAUGACCUGUGGCUGGGGGUGAAAGGCCAAUCAAACUCGGAGAUAGCUGGUUCUCCCCGAAAGCUAUUUAGGUAGCGCCUCGGACGAAUACUACUGGGGGUAGAGCACUGUUUGGGCUAGGGGGUCAUCCCGACUUACCAACCCCAUGCAAACUCCGAAUACCAGUAAGUACUAUCCGGGAGACACACGGCGGGUGCUAACGUCCGUCGUGAAGAGGGAAACAACCCAGACCGCCGGCUAAGGUCCCAAAGUUCUGGUUAAGUGGGAAACGAUGUGGGAAGGCUCAGACAGCUAGGAUGUUGGCUUAGAAGCAGCCAUCAUUUAAAGAAAGCGUAAUAGCUCACUAGUCGAGUCGGCCUGCGCGGAAGAUGUAACGGGGCUCAAACCAGGCACCGAAGCCGCGGAUUCACACUUAUGUGUGAGUGGUAGGGGAGCGUUCUGUAAGUCUGCGAAGGUGUAUCGAGAGGUAUGCUGGAGAUAUCAGAAGUGCGAAUGCUGACGUAAGUAACGAUAAAGGGGGUGAAAAGCCUCCUCGCCGGAAGACCAAGGGUUCCUGUCCAACGUUAAUCGGGGCAGGGUGAGUCGACCCCUAAGGCGAGGCCGAAAGGCGUAGUCGAUGGGAAGCAGGUUAAUAUUCCUGCACGACUUGUAAUUGCGAUGGGGGGACGGAGAAGGCUAGGUGGGCCAGGCGACGGUUGUCCUGGUGAAAGUGCGUAGGUGGUGUUUCUAGGCAAAUCCGGAGACACAACACUGAGACACGAGACGAACACACUACGGUGUGGAAGCCAUUGAUGCCCUGCUUCCAGGAAAAGCCUCUAAGCUUCAGAUUACAAGUCAUCGUACCCCAAACCGACACAGGUGGUCGGGUAGAGAAUACCAAGGCGCUUGAGAGAACUCGGGUGAAGGAACUAGGCAAAAUAGAACCGUAACUUCGGGAGAAGGUUCGCUCUUGACAGUGAAGUCCCUUGCGGAUGGAGCAGUUGGGAGUCGCAGUGACCAGAUGGCUGGGACUGUUUAUCAAAAACACAGCACUCUGCAAACACGAAAGUGGACGUAUAGGGUGUGACACCUGCCCGGUGCCGGAAGGUUAAUUGAUGGGGUUAGCGCAAGCGAAGCUCUUGAUCGAAGCCCCGGUAAACGGCGGCCGUAACUAUAACGGUCCUAAGGUAGCGAAAUUCCUUGUCGGGUAAGUUCCGACCUGCACGAAUGGUGUAACCAUGGCCAUGCUGUCUCCACCCGAGACUCAGUGAAAUCGAAUUCGCCGUGAAGAUGCGGUGUACCCGCGGCUAGACGGAAAGACCCCGUGAACCUUUACUACAGCUUGGCACUGAACAUUGAACCUACAUGUGUAGGAUAGGUGGGAGGCUUUGAAGGCGUGACGCCAGUUGCGCUGGAGCCGUCCUUGAAAUACCACCCUUGUAUGUUUGAUGUUCUAACGCAGGGCCCUGAAUCGGGCUCGCGGACAGUGCCUGGUGGGUAGUUUGACUGGGGCGGUCUCCUCCCAAAGAGUAACGGAGGAGCACGAAGGUUGGCUAAUCCUGGUCGGACAUCAGGAGGUUAGUGCAAUGGCAUAAGCCAGCUUAACUGCGAGACGGACAGGUCGAGCAGGUACGAAAGUAGGUCAUAGUGAUCCGGUGGUUCUGAAUGGAAGGGCCAUCGCUCAACGGAUAAAAGGUACUCCGGGGAUAACAGGCUGAUACCGCCCAAGAGUUCAUAUCGACGGCGGUGUUUGGCACCUCGAUGUCGGCUCAUCACAUCCUGGGGCUGAAGUCGGUCCCAAGGGUAUGGCUGUUCGCCAUUUAAAGUGGUACGCGAGCUGGGUUCAGAACGUCGUGAGACAGUUCGGUCCCUAUCUGCCGUGGGCGUUGGAUGAUUGAAGGGAGUUGCUCCUAGUACGAGAGGACCGGAGUGAACGAACCUCUGGUGUUCGGGUUGUCACGCCAGUGGCACUGCCCGGUAGCUAAGUUCGGAAUCGAUAACCGCUGAAAGCAUCUAAGCGGGAAGCGAGCCCUGAGAUGAGUCAUCCCUGACCCCUUGAGGGUCCUAAAGGGCCGUUGGAGACCACAACGUUGAUAGGCGGGGUGUGUAAGUGCAGCGAUGCAUUGAGCUAACCCGUACUAAUUACCCGUGAGGCUUAACCAU